UGCAAGUCUGGUGCCAGCAGCCGCGGUAAUUCCAGCUCCAAUAGCGUAUAUUAAAGUUGUUGCAGUUAAAAAGCUCGUAGUUGAACCUUGGGCUUGGUUGGCCGGUCCGCCUUUUUGGCGAGUACUGGACCCAACCGAGCCUUUCCUUCUGGCUAACCUUUCGCCCUUGUGGUGUUUGGCGAACCAGGACUUUUACUUUGAAAAAAUUAGAGUGUUCAAAGCAGGCCUUUGCUCGAAUAUAUUAGCAUGGAAUAAUAGAAUAGGACGUUAUGGUUCUAUUUUGUUGGUUUCUAGGACCAUCGUAAUGAUUAAUAGGGACGGUCGGGGGCAUCAGUAUUCAGUUGUCAGAGGUGAAAUUCUUGGAUUUACUGAAGACUAACUACUGCGAAAGCAUUUGCCAAA
RNAcentral lists this ribosomal RNA (402 nucleotides) under uncultured Debaryomyces. RNAcentral's name for it is "SSU rRNA". It matches the Rfam family "Eukaryotic small subunit ribosomal RNA", at positions 554 to 962 of the family's 1831-position model. Lineage: Eukaryota; Fungi; Ascomycota; Saccharomycetes; Saccharomycetales; Saccharomycetaceae. The record is from RNAcentral.